Molecule: ribosomal RNA, 284 nt
Filed under: uncultured bacterium
Lineage: Bacteria
Description: partial 16S ribosomal RNA
Rfam family: Bacterial small subunit ribosomal RNA
Source: RNAcentral
GUGGAUUAGAUACCCUAGUAGUCCACGCCCUAAAUUAUGAUAAUUAAGUGUUGCAUUUUUUGCAGUGCUGUAGCUAACGCGUUAAAUUAUCCACCUGAGGACUACGGUCGCAAGAUUAAAACUCAAAGGAAUAGACGGGGACCCACACAAGCAGUGGAUCAUGUGGUUUAAUUCGACAAUAAACGGGGAAUCUUACCCAGACUUGACAUCCUGAGAAUCUUUUGGAAACAAGAGAGUGCUCGCAAGAGAGCUCAGUGACAGGUGCUGCACGGCUGUCGACAGCU